RNAcentral lists this ribosomal RNA (406 nucleotides) under uncultured bacterium. Its description in RNAcentral is "partial 16S ribosomal RNA". It matches the Rfam family "Bacterial small subunit ribosomal RNA", at positions 30 to 526 of the family's 1533-position model. The record is from RNAcentral.
AUUGAACGCUGGCGGCAGGCCUAACACAUGCAAGUCGAACGAGUGGCGGACGGGUGAGUAAUGUCUGGGAAACUGGCUGAUGGAGGGGGAUAACUAAUGGAAACGGUAGCUAAUACCGCAUAACAUAGGCUGUGCCCAGAGGGGAUUAGAUAGUAGGUGGGGUAACGGCUCACCUAGGCGACGCUCCCUAGCGGGUCUGAGAGGAUGACCAGCCACACUGGAACUGAGACACGGUCCAGACUCCUACGGGAGGCAGCAGUGGGGAAUAUUGCACAAUGGUCGCAAGCCUGAUGCAGCCAUGCCGCGUGUAUGAAGAAGGCCUUCGGGUUGUAAAGUACUUUCAGCGAGGAGGCGUUACUCGCAGAAGAAGCACCGGCUAACUCCGUGCCAGCAGCCGCGGUAAUAC